AGGGUAAGACAUUGUGUCACGUAGCCGCCAUUUGUGGCAUUUGAAACCUCUGGCUCCUCAUUGCCUAAGACUAUAAGUUCACUGAAGUACAUUUAGAAGGAGCUUUCAAAAUUAGAUACACACAAUGGAUGGUUGGAAACCUGUCUGUUUCUUAGAUGUCAUGUGUUUCUUUUCUGUUCUAAACAUGUAUUGAAAACUAGGUCGUUGUUUAGCGG
RNAcentral lists this long non-coding RNA (215 nucleotides) under Elaeis guineensis (African oil palm). RNAcentral describes it as "long non-coding RNA (EGUI_LNC000322)". The record is from RNAcentral. Lineage: Eukaryota; Viridiplantae; Streptophyta; Magnoliopsida; Arecales; Arecaceae.